Tulasnella sp. 419 is the source of this 92-nucleotide non-coding RNA. NCBI's taxonomy places the organism in Eukaryota, Fungi, Basidiomycota, Agaricomycetes, Cantharellales, Tulasnellaceae. The record is from the annotation of a GenBank genome assembly.
CCGGCGAUAGCUCAGCUGGAAGAGCGCAAGACUGUAAUAGGAAGCCUCCAAUUGUCAUCUUGAUGUCCUCGGUUCGAUCCCGAGUCGCCGGA